This 380-nucleotide ribosomal RNA is filed under the name uncultured eukaryote. RNAcentral describes it as "partial 18S ribosomal RNA". It matches the Rfam family "Eukaryotic small subunit ribosomal RNA", at positions 592 to 976 of the family's 1831-position model. The record is from RNAcentral.
CAAUAGCGUAUAUUAUAGUUGUUGCGGUUAAAAAGCUCGUAGUUGGAGUUCUGCCAGGUGCCGCCUGUCCGCCCCAGUGGUGAGUACGUGGCGCGCAUUUGGCCCUUUCAAGGGGAGCGUAUCUGCACUUUAUUGUGUGGUGCGGGAUCCUUGACUUUUACUUUGAGGAAAUAGGAGUGUUCCAAGCAGGCUCUCGUCGUGCACAGCUCAGCAUGGAAUAAUAGCAUUGGACCUCGAUUCUAAGCUGUUGGUUGCCAGAAGCGAGGUAAUGAUGAAGAGGGAUAGUUGGGGGCAUUCGUAUUUAACUGUCAGAGGUGAAAUUCUUGGAUUUGUUAAAGACGGACUACCGCGAAAGCAUCUGCCAUGGAUGUUUUCAUUGA